CAGAGUUAUCUAACUCCCAAACCCAUGUGAACUUACCAUUUGUUGCCUCGGCAGAGCCUACCCGGUAACUGUUCGGAGAAGCUACCCUGUAGCUACCCUGUAACGGCCUACCCUGUAACGUCCUGCCGGUGGACUUUUAAACUCUUGUUAUUUUAUAGUAAUCUGAGUAAAUGAUUAAAUAAAUCA
RNAcentral lists this unclassified non-coding RNA (186 nucleotides) under uncultured Discosia. RNAcentral describes it as "sequence contains ITS1". Lineage: Eukaryota; Fungi; Ascomycota; Sordariomycetes; Amphisphaeriales; Amphisphaeriaceae. The record is from RNAcentral.